RNAcentral lists this ribosomal RNA (253 nucleotides) under uncultured bacterium. RNAcentral describes it as "partial 16S ribosomal RNA". It matches the Rfam family "Bacterial small subunit ribosomal RNA", at positions 524 to 776 of the family's 1533-position model. The record is from RNAcentral.
UACGUGGGGUGCAAGCGUUGUCCGGAAUUAUUGGGCGUAAAGAGCUCGUAGGCGGUUCGUCGCGUCGGCUGUGAAAACCCGAGGCUCAACCUCGGGCCUGCAGUCGAUACGGGCGGACUGGAGUUCGGCAGGGGAGACUGGAAUUCCUGGUGUAGCGGUGAAAUGCGCAGAUAUCAGGAGGAACACCGGUGGCGAAGGCGGGUCUCUGGGCCGAUACUGACGCUGAGGAGCGAAAGCGUGGGGAGCGAACAGG